CUUGGUCAUUUAGAGGAAGUAAAAGUCGUAACAAGGUUUCCGUAGGUGAACCUGCGGAAGGAUCAUUACAGAGUUCAUGCCCUUACGGGUAGAUCUCCCACCCUUGAAUAUUAUACCUUCGUUGCUUUGGCAGGCCGUGGAAACACCAUGGGCCCCGGCUUAUGCGUGCCUGCCAGAGGAAACAAACUCUGUUUUUAGUGAUGUCUGAGUACUAUAUAAUAGUUAAAACUUUCAACAACGGAUCUCUUGGUUCUGGCAUCGAUGAAGAACGCAGCGAAAUGCGAUAAGUAAUGUGAAUUGCAGAAUUCAGUGAAUCAUCGAAUCUUUGAACGCACAUUGCGCCCCGUGGUAUUCCGCGGGGCAUGCCUGUUCGAGCGUCAUUUCAACCCAUCAAGCUUCUGCUUGGUCUUGGGGCCUGCGGUUUCGCAGCCUCUAAACUCAGUGGCGGUGCUAUUGAGCUCUGAGCGUAGUAAUUUUUUCUCGCUAUAGGGUCUCGGUGGUUACUUGCCAGCAACCCCCAAUUUUUAUCAGGUUGACCUCGGAUCAGGUAGGGAUACCCGCUGAACUUAAGCAUAUCAAUAAGCGGAGGA
Molecule: ribosomal RNA, 590 nt
Filed under: uncultured fungus
Lineage: Eukaryota; Fungi
Description: eukaryotic LSU rRNA
Rfam family: 5.8S ribosomal RNA (bases 227-380)
Source: RNAcentral